Molecule: long non-coding RNA, 933 nt
Organism: Carassius gibelio (silver crucian carp)
Lineage: Eukaryota; Metazoa; Chordata; Actinopteri; Cypriniformes; Cyprinidae
Exons: 4
Source: RefSeq, a predicted model, not a curated record
GCUAUACCCUGCAGGAUAGUGGCCCUGUAGGACCGGAGUUACCUAUCCCUGUUUUAUGGCAAAUCACUAGGCAUUGUGUGUUACACUUAAAAUGAAUUAUAGGCAAGCAUUACAUCUUGGUAGAUUCUAAAGCAUUUAGAUGAAUUGUCCUGAUGGGCCUCAUUUCUCAAGAAAAACAUCCUGUUUCAGUCAUUUCAGUGGGUGGGGAACAACACAGGACAUCUGAAAGAGAUGGAUGUUGGUGGAGACCGUGUGAGAGAUGAAGUGAGCCCAUAUAUAAGGAAAAGGUCCAACCUUGUCACUUGUCAAGGGCUUCCUUGAGAUGUGCCCUUUGACAUGGAGAACAUACUGUACCAGAGGACAGAAAUGGAGUUACAGCCUCCCUAGAAGUGAAUCAAGAAGACAGACAACCAAGAAGCAUCAUGAUUUACAUAGCAACCAACAUUUUUCAUUCAACAUUUAAAAUAUGAUAGCUAGGGGGCGGAACUGUACAGCCUAAUGUUAGACAGAAAGCUAUGCAUUUUUAAAGGUCAUGUCUGCAACACGAGAAAUACUUUCUAGUUUGCACAUUGAAGGGUAAAUAUGUGUAGUGAAUUUAAUGGCAGACUAAUUAUGACAAACAUUAUUUGGAUGUAUAUGCAAAGCGUCAGAUGAUCUGACCUUUCCUAGUCUGUGGAAAUGGCAUACAGGCAACAUAUCAAACAGAAGCAGCACUUCUAUCAUUGGCAUCAAAGUUUCAGCUGUAGGCCUUGAGCUAUUAUUAGUUCUCCAGAUGCCUGUAAUGGCUGGUAUUUAUGAAAUGACAUGAAGGAGUGUUGAGAGCGUUUGGGAAAGUCAUAUGUUGGCCAACUGUUCUACUGUAAACAGUGCGGAGUGAAACUGAAUCGUACAACAUUUUAACCAAAUGGAAUGCCAAAUUAAAAUAUUACAAUA